Long non-coding RNA from Lingula anatina, 697 nucleotides. The record is from RefSeq and is a predicted model, not a curated record. Lineage: Eukaryota; Metazoa; Brachiopoda; Lingulata; Lingulida; Lingulidae.
UACAUCACCUUUUAUUUGUAAUAAUUAGCAAUAGAUAAAAGAAGAACAUUUUUUCAGAUAUUACAGAAUAUCUGCCAGGGUUUGAAGUGCCCUGAAAAGUGAUCACGAUGAUAUGCUGCAUCAUUAUCAUGCAUUCCUAUUAGUUAUAUUAAAAAAAACUGUCACCAAGCCCUUAGUGAAAAAUGGUUAUAAAAGUAUUCUUUGGCAGCACUUAUACUUUUUGAAACAUAAAUAUUGAAUUUUUUUAAAAGAAAUAUGACUCCUAUGGUAUUUCUUUAAGAUAAUUGGAUGGCAGUGUUGCAAACAAGUGUUAUUAUGAAGACAUUUUUUCUAAUUGGACUCCCAGGAGCCAGACUGCUUUUCACAUUCAAACGAGAAUUUAAAAAGAAAAAAAAUGUCAGAAAAGUAAAAGAGGUAUUUUGAAUAUAUUUACAGUCCACAUCCAUUUAUACCCAAUAUAUAAUGCCUGGUGUUCACUAGUACAGGUAGAGCCCUUUUCGGAAGCAAGUUGCAUAUUCCCAUAUUUUAAUAUCAGAUAUCAAAUACAAGCAUAUGGAACUGUUUUGAAUAAAGACAUAAAUUGUCCUUUGUGAUCAGCAUAUUUUUCUCUUACAUGUAUUUUAAGUCUUAAAAGGAUAGCUAAUGUAUUUUGAGAUAAUGCAUUUGAAGAUGGAACGUGUAUGAAAAUUUCUUCAGC